GGUGGUUCUCGGGUGAUGCACUCUGGAAUCGGGCUCCCUCCUCUCUGGUUCCAGAUGCAUCACCCAAGAACUGCU
This is a non-coding RNA of Myotis lucifugus (little brown bat), 75 nucleotides long. The record is from Rfam. Lineage: Eukaryota; Metazoa; Chordata; Mammalia; Chiroptera; Vespertilionidae.